GACAAUUUCGCCAAUGUUUGUAUGACCUCAUGGCAUUGGCUCUGUGUAACUCCAUACAUUGGAAUUUCUUCAACUACAGGGUUGCUGUAAUCCCAAAUAUCAAGAUAUAUUUCCAAAAAAUGUCUACAUUGAACUCAGAGCAUGGCUACACGGGGCAUAUCUCUCGAAUCGUCCUCUUUGAUGUGUCUAUCGAUGCACAAACAAAAACACAAAACCGAUCAAACGCACAUGUGGGAGGAGCAUAAACCAAAACAAAAAGAAAAAGAAAAAGAAAAAGAAACAUGAAAAAUAAAGCAACACAAAUAAAAACCUAAAGCCUUCAUCGACAACGACACCAAAAUUUGUUUCGACUAAACUAACUCUUAAAGUCGUCCGCAAUCGCACGAUAUCAAUUGCAGUUGAAUAAGCAAACUUAAAUCGUCCUCUCAAAUAAGGUUAGUCAAGUCGUUGACUCGUGUUACACACAUAAAGCAAUAAUUUCCUAAUUACUCUGAAC
RNAcentral lists this long non-coding RNA (496 nucleotides) under Salvia miltiorrhiza (redroot sage). RNAcentral's name for it is "long non-coding RNA (SMIL_LNC013319)". The record is from RNAcentral. Lineage: Eukaryota; Viridiplantae; Streptophyta; Magnoliopsida; Lamiales; Lamiaceae.